This 303-nucleotide long non-coding RNA is filed under the name Dermacentor andersoni. RNAcentral's name for it is "uncharacterized LOC126547691". Lineage: Eukaryota; Metazoa; Arthropoda; Arachnida; Ixodida; Ixodidae. The record is from RNAcentral.
ACAGGUACAGAGACUUGUGGCCACCUGAAAAAGAAGCAUUUCUACUUCGUCUGUCACCGGUCUGGAAGUUAUGCUUCACAAGCUACAAGUAAACAAAAGCUGAAGCGGCCUUCAAGUGUCAAGUGUGGAAAAAGAUGUUUUGCGGCAAUGGCUGUGACUGAAGACAACACAGACAAGCUGCGAGAAGGCGUGUCCAUGGAUGCAGUACUGGAUAAUGUGCGGUCCAACGUGGAUGAGACAUUCCACCGCAUUAACCUGUUAAGCAAGCAGGAUCUCCGCAAAAUAAUGAGGGAUGCCAGAGUC